UAGGGAAUCUUCCGCAAUGGGCGAAAGCCUGACGGAGCAACGCCGCGUGAGUGAUGAAGGUCUUCGGAUCGUAAAACUCUGUUAUUAGGGAAGAACAAAUGUGUAAGUAACUAUGCACGUCUUGACGGUACCUAAUCAGAAAGCCACGGCUAACUACGUGCCAGGAGCCGCGGUAAUACGUAAGUGGCAAGCGUUAUCCGGAAUUAUUGGGCGUAAAGCGCGCGCAGGCGGUUUUUUAAGUCUGAUGUGAAAGCCCACGGCUCAACCGUGGAGGGUCAUUGGAAACUGGAAAACUUGAGUGCAGAAGAAGAAAGUGGAAUUCCAUGUGUAGCGGUGAAAUGCGCAGGGAUAUGGAGGAACUCCAGUGGCGAAGGCGACUUUCUGGUCUGUAACUGACGCUGAUGUGCGAAAGCGUGGGGAUCAAACAGG
Molecule: ribosomal RNA, 429 nt
Filed under: Actinomycetes bacterium
Lineage: Bacteria; Bacillati; Actinomycetota; Actinomycetes
Description: Actinobacteria bacterium partial 16S ribosomal RNA
Rfam family: Bacterial small subunit ribosomal RNA
Source: RNAcentral